ACGAGACUGUUGUGUAAGCAAUGUUUUGACUUGCGUGGUAAACAUCUGAGAGGUCCAUCACUUUCCUCCCACAGUGAGCUGACAUACUGACAUGAUAUCACUGGAAAACUGUCAGGCGUUAAAACCGCUAGACACCAGUUCCAUUCGGUAUAACGACAGUCCGUCCCGGAUACACACCGAUCUGACCAUCUCUCUUUUGAAGAAGGAAAUGGUGUAUGGUACUGAAUCUAAAGCUAUAAGACAGUCAGUGAUGAUGUGAUCACUGCUGGAGCCACUGACGUAGCCGACGUCGAGGUGAAAGAAAGCAAAGACACAACCCGCGAGCUGAGGGAGGCGAGGGUCUGCAGUUCAGUGAAGGUGGCAGUGCAGUGGCUCUUAAUCAGCCGCCAUGGAAUUGUUGCACCCGACACCAACCUGCUUUAUAUGGAAAACGUAAUCCGAUCACCCGGAAGUGAGGGAGGCUGUGUACAAGUCGCUCCGCGGCAAGUCUAUCUCAACUGUCCGUCCUGGCUUAGUGUUUAAAGAUGGAACACCUUCUCGUAGUAGUUAUAGUAGCCGUAUUCUUGCUACAAAUGCACAAUUUGAUUGAU
Haliotis rubra (blacklip abalone) is the source of this 590-nucleotide long non-coding RNA. RefSeq lists it as uncharacterized. The transcript is spliced from 2 exons. The record is from RefSeq and is a predicted model, not a curated record. NCBI's taxonomy places the organism in Eukaryota, Metazoa, Mollusca, Gastropoda, Lepetellida, Haliotidae.